UAUUACCGCGGCUGCUGGCACGGAGUUAGCCGGUGCUUCUUCUGCGGGUAACGUCAAUGAGCAAAGGUAUUAACUUUACUCCCUUCCUCCCCGCUGAAAGUACUUUACAACCCGAAGGCCUUCUUCAUACACGCGGCAUGGCUGCAUCAGGCUUGCGCCCAUUGUGCAAUAUUCCCCACUGCUGCCUCCCGUAGGAGUCUGGACCGUGUCUCAGUUCCAGUGUGGCUGGUCAUCCUCUCAGACCAGCUAGGGAUCGUCGCCUAGGUGAGCCGUUACCCCACCUACUAGCUAAUCCCAUCUGGGCACAUCCGAUGGCAAGAGGCCCGAAGGUCCCCCUCUUUGGUCUUGUGACGUUAUGCGGUAUUAGCUAAUCUUUCGACUAGUUAUCCCCCACUACAGGGCACGUUCCGAUGUAUUACUCACCCGUUCGCCACUCGCCAUCAAUCUAGCAAGCUAGAUCAUGCUGCCGUUCGACUUGCAUGUGUAAGGCAUGCCGCCAGCGUUCAAUCUGAGCCAGAAUCAAACUCU
Molecule: ribosomal RNA, 528 nt
Filed under: uncultured Enterobacterales bacterium
Lineage: Bacteria; Pseudomonadati; Pseudomonadota; Gammaproteobacteria; Enterobacterales
Description: partial 16S ribosomal RNA
Source: RNAcentral